This 69-nucleotide transfer RNA is filed under the name Molanna angustata. RNAcentral describes it as "tRNA-Trp". The record is from RNAcentral. Lineage: Eukaryota; Metazoa; Arthropoda; Insecta; Trichoptera; Molannidae.
AAAGUUUUAAGUUAAAUUAUAAACUAAUAAUCUUCAAAAUUAUAAAUAAAUUAUUAUAUUUAAGCUUUA